RNAcentral lists this long non-coding RNA (226 nucleotides) under Malus domestica (apple). RNAcentral's name for it is "long non-coding RNA (MDOM_LNC016802)". Lineage: Eukaryota; Viridiplantae; Streptophyta; Magnoliopsida; Rosales; Rosaceae. The record is from RNAcentral.
UGUUUUCUAGGCACUAGAAUGGUGUUUUUGGGGUGUUUUGCUUCCUAGGUUGUGUAUGGACGAAUUUUUGUGAUAAAAUGAUGAAUAUAGGGGAUUGUCCUUUGGCCAAGGAGUGUAAACAUGUAUUUAUAGGCCCCAAAAACCUUAGAAAAUCAAGUUAGGUUAAGGAUGAAAUGCAUGGCAAUUUGUGUGUGUGGUGUGCAAUGGUCCAAGGGUGAAAAUGAAG